Molecule: long non-coding RNA, 2323 nt
Organism: Podarcis muralis (Common wall lizard)
Lineage: Eukaryota; Metazoa; Chordata; Lepidosauria; Squamata; Lacertidae
Source: RefSeq, a predicted model, not a curated record
ACCUGGAGCAGGAACCGGCAAGCCACUCCAGUAUCCCUGCCAAGAAAAUUCCAUGGACAAAGACAACAAACCCAGAAAUAGACCACAGCAAACCAAACACCAGCAGCCUGAGCUGUAGCCCUGGAAGUGCUUGCUGAAAUAAAUUUCACUGAGCAGAUGACAUGAGUGACAGAAAUGGAGAGUGCAGCUUAUGAAGGCCUGGCAUAUAGCAAGCCUGCAGGAAAGGUAAGCACAGCUAUCAAACACAUUUUGUAUAAGUGCUUCUCCGGUUGGAAUGAUUUUUGAAGUUUUUUAGGCCUGCAGGUUAAUGUCCCAGGAACAUGUCGAUGCGGCUGAGAGGCAAGACCAUGAACCUGGAAGAUAGAGACGGACAGGUUCUCUGGGGAGCGGAGAUGAAGCUAAGCAGGUUAAGAGCCUCACCUGUCACAGGCGAACUACCUUCACAAGAAAGCGGAUGUUGAACAAAGACAGGGAGCCGCUGACAAGAAUUUCCAAAUGUGCAAGCAUCGCUGUAGUAGCAAAGGUGGUCAGAAGGCAUACCAGGAUAUCCAGGCUGACAUGAGAUGGAACAAAUAACAAGAAAAGGAGCCUCCAAGGAAGCUUGCAUUACCACACAGACAUUAUUUCAUAUACAGAAUUUGAGUCUCCUUGGUUUCUUCCAAUUCUGAGAAGGUGUGUGCCAUUAUACAACAUUUCUGGAAGUUGCCAGUAUGGAUACAAUCUCAGAAGUGUGUGUGUGAUGAAGUUGAUUAUGAGCCUCUACUUCAGGGGUGGGAAACCUCAGAUUCUACCCGGUCCUUGGGAUUUUCCUUCCACCACUCCCCUUCCCAAGAUACGCCCUUCAUUACGUCUGCUUUCCACCCUUCUUGAAUGGUUUUGCCUCGUAGGAAUGUGUCCCUGAACUCUGAUGAUGCUUCCAGCUUGUGUGGGUGGAGCAUAGAGUGAAGUGUGUGUAGAAAUGAAUCAGUGGUUCAGACAUAUAUCCAAUGCUCCAACUACUUUUGCCUCUGGUCUGGUCCAAUGCAACAUUGGCAUGUUGUGGUCCUUGAAGGUUUCUUAGAAGAGAUUGUGACUCUCAGCUUGAAGAACGUUCUCCACCCCAUACUGUCACCUUCUCCUGCCUGUCAUUAACAAUGCUAUGUCUCUAUGUUAAGAGGAACUGUGGCAAUAGUCUUGUUUAAAAUUGACCCCAUCCAUUAACUCAGUGGGUAGCCUUGUGGGAUGCAAGUGCCUUUCGACUUCAUUCCCUCAUCUAUCCUACAGAGUCCACCAUAAUGACUUAAUUUACAGGACUACUGUGAGAAAUAUUCCAAAUAAGCAUGAAUUUUUUUUACUAUUUGACGUUCGCAUAGCACUUUCCCCUAAUGCGCGUGAACUUUAUGUAACUUUGCAAAAAUCCUUACAAUUGAAGUGCAUGUGAUUAGAGAACCUCCAAGUGUCUUUGUAUCUCCAAAGUGAUAUAUCAUGACUUUCAGCUGUGCCUCUGCACUGCUUUUUAAAAAUACCUACAUGGGUCUUUAUGUGCAGACAAUGUCUUAUGUCCAGACAGUAUGGGAGUACCUUGGACUCCCUCAUGUAGUUCAAUACUUUCUCAUUAUUUUCCCAAGUUGAAUUGCUACCUCUCCAAAUAAGAAUACUUUAGUAGAUAGUGAUAAGAUUGUACCAUAUCAUGCCUUCACAAAAGCAAAUAAUGUUAACUCCUGGUACCAUGGGUGAGAAUUAAAACUGAAUUAUUAUUUUUUGCCAUGUGAGAUCCACGUUCCUUCUAGCUGUUGGAGGACUGUCAAUACAUACUCCAUGGGAACCAUCCCUUAGUGAGUCUACUGUUCAUUGCAACAGGUCCAAGGGGCUCUUGAUGCUGGGCUCUCUGUUGGGGUUUCGGCCUUUGGCAGAUGACCAGCCCUGCUGACCCUUCACACGAGCCCUGUGUGAGAAGGAUUACUUUUGAAAGUAGCUCUAUGGAUUGAGCUAUGCACAUUUCUCACUAAUGCCAUAUACCAAGGGGGAGUGAGAUGGAAACACCCCAAACCAUACUUUCUCUGUGAGCAAAAGAACCAAGGCCACAUUAUCUUGCUCCAAUUAAAUGAUGUUUUCCCACAGAAUGUUAGCUUCAGGGUAGUCUUCUGAGGCACUUGACGUACUUCAUCUUAAUUUCUGGGUAAUGUGGUGCUGACAAUCAUUUAAGACAAUGUAGCUGAUAGGCCAGUCUCCCCCAACCUCCAAAAAAUGUUUUUUGCCUAGCAUAUCCUGGUGACACUUUUCUGAGAUGGAUGUCUUCCGCAGAAUUUGAUUAAUGUAAUGCAAUAAAAGAGAUGUGCACUAA